This 68-nucleotide transfer RNA is filed under the name Astur gentilis (Northern goshawk). RNAcentral's name for it is "Accipiter gentilis (Northern goshawk) tRNA-Phe". Lineage: Eukaryota; Metazoa; Chordata; Aves; Accipitriformes; Accipitridae. The record is from RNAcentral.
GUCCCAGUAGCUUAUAACAAAGCAUGGCGCUGAAGAUGCCAAGAUGGCCAUUAUACAGCCCACGGACA